Molecule: long non-coding RNA, 481 nt
Filed under: Malus domestica (apple)
Lineage: Eukaryota; Viridiplantae; Streptophyta; Magnoliopsida; Rosales; Rosaceae
Description: long non-coding RNA (MDOM_LNC020261)
Source: RNAcentral
AUUAUCGUAGGCUUAGGUUCAUAAUCACCCUUUCUUUAAUUAAUUAACGCUUUAACUAAUAAAACUUGAAUGCAACAUUUUCAUUUGGUUUUUGUAUCCAUAGAAUUGAUUUAAAUGAAGCUAAAUGAAAUGAAAAUCUAAUUCUCAUUUAAAGAUACAAACUAUUUUGUUCUCAACUAAUUUGGGCCGAAAAACAAUAACCUCAACCAUUGGGCUAUACUGCAAACCACAAACUUUUGAGGUCACUUUGUAAAAACAAAAAAGUCCACUACUUCAUGUAACUACAACUAGAACCCAAAAUUUUCAUCAAAAUACAAAAACUUCAUUAAAGGAGCAAAAAAUUUUGUCCUUUGGUGAUUUUGGGCCUUUACGUAAAAAUGUAAACUUUCGGGUCAAAGUACAAAUACAUAAAAGUAUCAAAACUUUAUGUAAUUGCAUAAAAACCCCAAGACUGUUGGAAAUGUGCCCUAAAACCAAUCAU